ACCUGGGAACUGCAUUGGAGACUGCAAGGCUAGAGUGUGUCAGAGGGGGGUAAAAUUCCACGUGUAGCAGUGAAAUGCGUAGAUAUGUGGAGGAAUACCGAUGGCGAAGGCAGCCCCCUGGGACGUGACUGACGCUCAUGCACGAAAGCGUGGGGAGCAAACAGGAUUAGAUACCCUGGUAGUCCACGCCCUAAACGAUGUCAACUAGUUGUUGGGGAUUCAUUUUCUCAGUAACGUAGCUAACGCGUGAAGUUGACCGCCUGGGGAGUACGGUCGCAAGAUUAAAACUCAAAGGAAUUGACGGGGACCCGCACAAGCGGUGGAUGAUGUGGAUUAAUUCGAUGCAACGCGAAAAACCUUACCUACCCUUGACAUGCCACUAACGAAGCAGAGAUGCAUUAGGUGCCCGAA
This 411-nucleotide ribosomal RNA is filed under the name uncultured bacterium. Its description in RNAcentral is "bacterial SSU rRNA". It matches the Rfam family "Bacterial small subunit ribosomal RNA", at positions 612 to 1022 of the family's 1533-position model. The record is from RNAcentral.